This 515-nucleotide long non-coding RNA is filed under the name Physcomitrium patens. RNAcentral describes it as "long non-coding RNA (PPAT_LNC008708)". Lineage: Eukaryota; Viridiplantae; Streptophyta; Bryopsida; Funariales; Funariaceae. The record is from RNAcentral.
UUUGGCUUAAGAAUAUACUAAGCACCUGGCUGUAGAAGAUAAAAGGAAAAUUGCAACAACCAGUUCUAACAACUAUAAUAGAUUCUUAAAAAAAUUAAAACUAAAGAUUAGCAUGUAUAAUCAAACAUCAAUCAAAUUCAAUCAAAAUUACAAAGGAAUUAUGUAAAAAAUACAAAAUAUUCCUAAAGAUCCUUUAAAAAAAUCAUAAAGAAAUAACAUAGUAAUUCAAAAAUAUACUAAAAUACAAAUCUUAAUAAAAUAUUAAAAUAAAAACUUUAAUUAAAUCCUAAUCAAAUUCUAAUCAAAUCCUAAAUAAAUCUUAAUCAAAUCCUAAUCAAUCCUAAAUAAAUUCUAAAAAAAUCCUAACUAAUUUUUAGUCAAAUCCUAAAAAAUCAUAACCAAAUUAUAAUCAAACCUCAAACAAACCUUAACCAAAUCCUAAUCAAAUCUUAAAUAAAUCUUAACCAAAUUCUAAUCAAAUCUUAAACAUAACCUAAUCAAAUCCUAACUAAAUC